This 125-nucleotide small RNA is filed under the name Marmota monax (woodchuck). The record is from RNAcentral. Lineage: Eukaryota; Metazoa; Chordata; Mammalia; Rodentia; Sciuridae.
GCUUGGUGCAGUGGUGCACGCCUGUAAUCCUAGCAGCUCAGGAGGCUGAGGCAGGAGAAUCACAAGUUCAAAGCCAGCCUCAGCAAAAGUGAUGUGCUAAGCAACUCAGUGAGACCCUGUCUCUA